UGAGGAGAUUUAGAGAAUGCCUGUGA
RNAcentral lists this non-coding RNA (26 nucleotides) under Homo sapiens (human). Lineage: Eukaryota; Metazoa; Chordata; Mammalia; Primates; Hominidae. The record is from RNAcentral.